This 164-nucleotide ribosomal RNA is filed under the name Indosasa shibataeoides. RNAcentral describes it as "5.8S ribosomal RNA". It matches the Rfam family "5.8S ribosomal RNA". From Rfam's summary of the family: 5.8S ribosomal RNA (5.8S rRNA) is a component of the large subunit of the eukaryotic ribosome. It is transcribed by RNA polymerase I as part of the 45S precursor that also contains 18S and 28S rRNA. The record is from RNAcentral. Lineage: Eukaryota; Viridiplantae; Streptophyta; Magnoliopsida; Poales; Poaceae.
CGACUCUCGGCAACGGAUAUCUCGGCUCUCACAUCGAUGAAGAACGUAGCGAAAUGCGAUACCUGGUGUGAAUUGCAGAAUCCCGCGAACCAUCGAGUCUUUGAACGCAAGUUGCGCCCGAGGCCCUCGGGCCGAGGGCACGCCUGCCUGGGCGUCACGCCAAA